This 360-nucleotide transfer-messenger RNA is filed under the name Clostridia. Its description in RNAcentral is "CAG-273 sp900752095 Standard tmRNA". It matches the Rfam family "transfer-messenger RNA". Rfam says of the family: Bacterial tmRNA, also known as 10Sa RNA or SsrA, is named for its dual tRNA and mRNA-like properties. Its role is to liberate the mRNA from a stalled ribosome. RNAcentral also lists the same sequence under 1 other name. The record is from RNAcentral. Lineage: Bacteria; Bacillati; Bacillota.
GGGGAUGUAUUUGGUUUCGACAGUAUUUUGGCCCAUAUAAAUAGCGAGUAGUGGAUUCUCACUUGGCCACUUUAAUAAUGUGAGAAAUAAAAAUAAACGCUGAUAAUAGAGAAUUAGCAUACGCUGCUUAGUUUAAGUAGCACGUCUUACUUUAAGUGCCCACGCUUUUAGAUAAGGCGCCGAUCAGUGGGAAACAAAGCUAUUUUUAGCCAUGAAAAUAGUGGAUAAUUUAAAUGGCUACCUUAUUAUUUAGUUUGUUUGUUAACUUUUUAAAAAGGGAAUUUUAAUAACAAACUGUACUCGGAGAAGUUUAUAUGGUAAGAAUAUUGGACAGGGGUUCGACUCCCCUCAUCUCCACCA